GGGGGUUUAGCUCAGUGGCACCUCGCCUGCCUCGCAAGCAGGGGGUCCUGAGUUCAAUCCCCAGUACCCCCC
This 72-nucleotide transfer RNA is filed under the name Fukomys damarensis (Damara mole-rat). It matches the Rfam family "tRNA". From Rfam's summary of the family: Transfer RNA (tRNA) molecules are approximately 80 nucleotides in length. Their secondary structure includes four short double-helical elements and three loops (D, anti-codon, and T loops). Lineage: Eukaryota; Metazoa; Chordata; Mammalia; Rodentia; Bathyergidae. The record is from Rfam by way of RNAcentral.